Nycticebus coucang (slow loris) is the source of this 4290-nucleotide long non-coding RNA. RefSeq lists it as uncharacterized. The record is from RefSeq and is a predicted model, not a curated record. Lineage: Eukaryota; Metazoa; Chordata; Mammalia; Primates; Lorisidae. The transcript has 3 exons.
GCGGGCGCCCCCAGGGCUUGGUCCUCUCCUCUGCCUCGCCUCUCCUCCCCUCCCCUCCACCUCUUCUCCUCCCCUUUCUCUCCCUUCCUCUCUUCUCCCUUCCUCUUCUGUCCUUUCCUCUCCUCUCGUUUACCUUCCUGGGGCUUUGCCCCAAGUCCCCGUCCCGCACCUUUCGCUCGCUGGAUCUUUAUAGUCACCCAGAUAUUGCCUGACCUGAAUAUCUGGUAGUUGCUGGGGGACGGGGACACACCCCAUUCCUGCCUCUAUUUACCCCCAGGUCCCAAGGACCCCCGUGCCAGGGUGUUUGUCCCUUGUCCCUUUCGACCCAGCUCGGGUGUGAGGGUACCUAGAGGCCGGGAAAGCUGUCGCUGCUUUGGGUGUCCACCCACCUGCUGCCCUGGCCCUCCGGAUCUGGGGCAUUUACUCUCAUGGUCCAUCCUUUACGUACCCGUCCGGGUUAUCCGCCCCCGCCCCUUUCUGGGUAGACAGGGCUCUUUUGUUUUUCUCUGGGUGAUACCCAGAUUAAGGUGGGGGGCGGAGCUUUUCCCCGGGCAAACAGGAGCCCGUCUGUCCUCUGGGACCUAGAAGCACUCGUUUGUGGGCGCCUACUCCGCGGGCACGGCCCUAGGGUGUUGUAUACACAGACACCCCUACGGCCCGCUAGUGGGAUCAGCGUGGCGUCCGGACAUGUCAUCUUUUGUGGGGGAUGAGCCGGCGGCUUGUGUACCAUUUAUGCCUCCUUCGUGUUAAAUCUAGGCAGGGUUUUUCGACCCUUCCGUGCCUCAGUUUCCCCAUUUGUAAAAUGUGAUGAUAACACUGCCCUCUUUUCUGAGUGUUUGAGGGUCAGUGUUACCUGGCACUACCAGGUACCCACAAAACAAGAACGUCUAUUCAUUAAUUAUUGUUUUAAAUGAUUAUGUCUUAGUUAUUUUAGUAUUAUUUUAAAAUGAUUUUAUCAUUGCAUUUUCUAUAUUAUUAUUACUACCAUUGUUAUGUUUAGUAACACUUUGUCAGUAUUAUCUCCACCUGGUAUUUUCCCAGGGGGCCAUACAGGGCUAUUUAUCUGAAGGAGAGAUGAUGCCUCUUUUAAGGAGAUCUUUAGCCCCCUAAAGUAGUUCCUUGCACUCUGAAUGAGCCUCUCCCCCUUCUUAGAAUCAAAUAUAGAUAUUUGGUGCGUGAAUAAGUAAAUAUAUUUAUAUUUCCUUUCCCCUACAAGAGCCUUUCUCGGCUUGACUUUUUUUUUUUUUUUUUGAGAUGAGGUCUUGCUCUGUUGCCCAGGUUGGAGUGCAGUGGCAGGAUCACAGUUCAUUGCAGCCUCCAACUCCUGGGCUCAAGAGAUUUUCCCACCUCAGCCUCUCAAAUAGUUGGCACCACAGGUGUGCACCAUACCACCCAGCUAAUUUUUCUAAUUUUUGUAUAAAUGGGGGUUGCUAUGUUGCUGAGGUUGAUAUUGAGCUCCUGGGCUCACAUGAUCCUCCCACUUCAGCCUCCCGAAGUGCUGAAGUUAUAGGGUGUUUCCCCUGUGCACAGCCUUAUCCCAAAUUAAUUUCUCAAAUAGCCAGGCAUUGUGGCGGGCACCUGUAGUCCCAGCUACUUGGGAGGCUAAGGCAAGAGAAUCACUUAAGCCCAAGAGCUGGAGGUUGCUGUGAGUGUGAUGCCGUGACACUCUACCAAGGGUGACAAAGUGGGACUCUGUCUCUAAAAAAAAAAAAAAUAAUAAUUUCUCUUUCCUCUACACCUUCAAAAUCUGUGGGAAGUAGAAUUGGGGGCAAUAAGAGGACUGUUCGACUCAAACCCAAGCUGACUUAAUAGCUUCCACAGUUGGACUGUCCACCCUCAGUGGGUGCUGGUAACUUCCACUAUGUAGACAUCUUCUGGGCUCUGCCAGGUCCAAGAAGCCUCAGACAACCUCUCUGGAUCCUCAGUUUCCCUGUCAGUAAAGUAGUCUUAUUGGAUGGUAUGAGAAACAGAUGAACUAACCCUUGGGCAAGUGUUAAACAGAAGUUUAAGUAUUCAUUCAACAAACAUAGAGACUGUUGCUGUGGGCUGGGUGCUGAAUAUUUGGCAGGAACCAGUGAGACCUGGCCUGUCCUCGAGUCUGGUGAGGCAGUGAUUAAGGGGCAAACAAGUAAAGGUGUCAGCUGGUUUCAGGAGCUAUGUGGUAAAGCAAGGAUAUGAGCCAACUGGACUAGGUGGGGGCUAGGGCAGUGACAGUGGAGCCAAAGGAAGGCUUCAGGGAGGGCUUGAUAUGUACAGAAGCCCUGAGGUUGAGGCACUGCAAGGAGGUCCCUGUGUUGUGGGUGAACCUAGGUACUUUGCUGUAAUCUGCUUCCCUGCUCUGGAGUAGAGUAUUGGUGACUCCAGGCUCCCAGAGACCAAAUGUGUCUUAUUCAGCCUGUUUGCCAAGGUGGUGUGACUCACUUUCCAGUGCUCAGCUUAGUACUUAGGGCCCAUGGGAGGGUGAAACGAGACAUAGGUCUGCCUGUGAGGUCCAAUAAUAGGCCAAGGAGGAGCUAGGUCUUGCCCUGAGGGUGCUGGGGAACCAUGGCCAGGGCUGGGGCAGGGAAAGGAAUAGGCAGGUCUUUGGGCCUGAAGGAGAAGGCUGGGGGACUGUGGUCUAGAACUGAGAGGGAAGCUGGGUGACUCAGUUGGUGAAGGUCACACCCAGGUUCACUCCAACUGCACCCCUUGCCUCUGAGGUGGCUGGGUACAGCCCUUCCUCUCAGAGUCUCUGAUCCCUCAUCUAUAGAAUGGGAAUAGUGCUGGGCCUCAGUUGUGAUCUGUAUUCCUGAGUCCUGGCUUGCUCAGACAUCUUCUGAGGGCUCUCCUAGGAUAUGGCCUCUGUUAUCAGCCUUGUCCAGCUGCUGGGGUGGAGACACAGGCCCUGAGGCCCCAGGGAGGCUGUGAGUGAAUCAGGGGCAUGGACAGGGGUGCUCAGACCUGAAAGACAUUGGUGUAAUGUAACCAUGAGCAUCCCUUGAGUAGUCACUGGUUGCCACACUGAGUGCAGAAGACUUGACUUGCCAUGUGCUUUUCCCCAGCCCUUUUUGCAGCUGUGGGAAGUUGAGCUGUGACUUAUAGUGGAUGUCAAAAUAUUAGUACUUGCCUCCUGCAGUUAUGGUGCAGGUGACAGGUAAUGAGCCCAACCUAGAGGAAAUAUUCAAUCCAGGGACAUUACUGACAGUGAGAAUGGUGUGGCAUGGUUGAGGAGGUGAGUGAGUACCUCAUCACAGGAGGAAGCCAACCAGGUGGUAGAGGUGAAGGGACGAUAUCUGAGUGCCUCUCCCUGAUCUCCACUUUGCAGAGAAUGGGCUGCAGAUCACUGAAUGAAGUGCUAUAGCUGGAGUUCAGACUCAAGGCUGAGAUUCCAAGGCCUGCAGUCUGAAGAGGCGUCAGCCUCUGAGUUUCUUGGCAUGCCUUAGCCAGAGAAUUCUGAGUGCCUGUUGCUCUGCCUAUGUGUCUUCUGUUGAUGGCAACUUGGGCCCUUUAUCGCUGUCACCCAAGCUGGAGUGCAGUAGCAUCAUUGUAGCUCACUGCAACCUCAAACUCCUGGGCUUAAAUGAUCCUCCUACCUCAGCUUCCUGAGUACCUGGAACUACAGGUACCUGCCACCACAACUGGCUAACUUUUCUAUUUUUUUAUAGAAACAGGGUCUCAGUCUUACUCAGUCUGGUCUCAAACGCAUUGCUUCAGGGGAUCCUCUUUCCUUAGCAACUGAAGUGUUAGGGUUACAGGAAUGAUCUUCCACACCCAAGCCCUGUUUACUUUUUGACCAAGAUGUAACAGCUAUUCUAUAAAGUGCACAAACUUAGAGCUUGAUUCUUUUUUUUUUUUUUACAGGCAGACUACAACAAAUUAGUCACUUUUAUUUAACAGAAACAUACAAAUAAGUGUGCAAAAUUAGAGCUUGAUUCUUUACAUAUGUGUAAACCUGAGUGAGCACGGCCUCGCUCCUGAUUUUUUUUUUUUUUUUUUUGCAGUUUUGGCCGGGGCCAGGCUUGAACCUGUCACAGGCGCCACCCCCUCACUCCUGAUCUCAAUGGCAUCUUGCUUUGACUGUCCUAGGAUUUUAAGGCCCUUUCUGGUCUUUUGGGGGAGGGGUUUGGAUGUGUGCAUUUGGUUUUAAUUUGUGUCUUGGGGAGUGGGGACUCUAGGAAAGUUUAAGUGGGAAUUUAGAUUUUGGGAUUAGUCUUAGAAUCAUGGCAUUUCAUUGAGAAUUAAUUUGGUGGGUUUUUUGUUUGCUUGUUUUUUGUGUGUUUUGGGGUGUUUUUUUCUGUUGUUGUUGUUUUA